RNAcentral lists this ribosomal RNA (437 nucleotides) under uncultured bacterium. Its description in RNAcentral is "bacterial SSU rRNA". It matches the Rfam family "Bacterial small subunit ribosomal RNA", at positions 958 to 1392 of the family's 1533-position model. The record is from RNAcentral.
AACGCGAAGAACCUUACCUGGGCUUGAUAUCCUUGGAAUCUUGUAGAGAUACAAGAGUGCUAGUUUACUAGAACCAAGAGACAGGUGCUGCACGGCUGUCGUCAGCUCGUGUCGUGAGAUGUUGGGUUAAGUCCCGCAACGAGCGCAACCCUCGUGAUUAGUUGCUAACAGUUUGGCUGAGCACUCUAAUCAGACUGCCUUCGCAAGGAGGAGGAAGGUGAGGACGACGUCAAGUCAUCAUGGCCCUUAUGCCCAGGGCUACACACGUGCUACAAUGGCGCGUACAAAGAGAGGCGAUACCGCGAGGUGGAGCAAAUCUUAAAAACGCGUCUCAGUUCGGAUUGGAGUCUGCAACUCGACUCCAUGAAGCUGGAAUCGCUAGUAAUCGUAGAUCAGAUAUGCUACGGUGAAUACGUUCCCGGGUCUUGUACACACCG